RNAcentral lists this ribosomal RNA (486 nucleotides) under uncultured bacterium. Its description in RNAcentral is "bacterial SSU rRNA". It matches the Rfam family "Bacterial small subunit ribosomal RNA", at positions 30 to 509 of the family's 1533-position model. The record is from RNAcentral.
AUUGAACGCUGGCGGCAGGCCUAACACAUGCAAGUCGAGCGGAUGAAGAGAGCUUGCUCUCUGAUUCAGCGGCGGACGGGUGAGUAAUGCCUAGGAAUCUGCCUGAUAGUGGGGGACAACGUUUCGAAAGGAACGCUAAUACCGCAUACGUCCUACGGGAGAAAGCAGGGGACCUUCGGGCCUUGCGCUAUCAGAUGAGCCUAGGUCGGAUUAGCUAGUUGGUGAGGUAAUGGCUCACCAAGGCGACGAUCCGUAACUGGUCUGAGAGGAUGAUCAGUCACACUGGAACUGAGACACGGUCCAGACUCCUACGGGAGGCAGCAGUGGGGAAUAUUGGACAAUGGGCGAAAGCCUGAUCCAGCCAUGCCGCGUGUGUGAAGAAGGUCUUCGGAUUGUAAAGCACUUUAAGUUGGGAGGAAGGGCAUUAACCUAAUACGUUAGUGUUUUGACGUUACCGACAGAAUAAGCACCGGCUAACUUCGUGCC